CACAGUGAUGAGGAUGGACUGGCUCUAUGGUGACACUGCAGGGGUGGCUGGAUCUUUGUUCUGAGGGCUUAGGUUGGGGGGACUACUGGCCUCAUCAGGACCCCCCUCUCAACAGCCUGGACAGAGGCUCUCGCUCCUGAGAGCUGUGUGGCCACCAUCAUUCCCGGAGGGGCUCUGUUUUCAUCUUCUCUUAUCAGACUUUCCUGCCCAGUCCCCGAUCGCCAGUGAGGGAUCCUGGGCCUCGCAGCUGCUUCCCGUGGAGGGACACAGGCUCCUCAGAGAAGCAGGCUGAUCUUACUUUUCUCCGUAACCCAAGGCCUAGCAAAGCGCCAGCCCAUGUGUGGGCCUUGCAGGGCCUUGGAUAC
Molecule: non-coding RNA, 365 nt
Organism: Vicugna pacos (alpaca)
Lineage: Eukaryota; Metazoa; Chordata; Mammalia; Artiodactyla; Camelidae
Source: RefSeq, a predicted model, not a curated record